UACGAAGGGGGCUAGCGUUGCUCGGAAUCACUGGGCGUAAGGCGCACGUAGGCGGACUCUUAAGUCAGGGGUGAAAUCCUGGAGCUCAACUCCAGAACUGCCUUUGAUACUGGGAGUCUUGAGUUCGGGAGAGGUGAGUGGAACUGCGAGUGUAGAGGUGAAAUUCGUAGAUAUUCGCAAGAACACCAGUGGCGAAGGCGGCUCACUGGCCCGAUACUGACGCUGAGGUGCGAAAGCGUGGGGAGCAAACAGG
This 253-nucleotide ribosomal RNA is filed under the name uncultured bacterium. RNAcentral's name for it is "partial 16S ribosomal RNA". It matches the Rfam family "Bacterial small subunit ribosomal RNA", at positions 524 to 776 of the family's 1533-position model. The record is from RNAcentral.